RNAcentral lists this ribosomal RNA (425 nucleotides) under uncultured bacterium. RNAcentral describes it as "bacterial SSU rRNA". It matches the Rfam family "Bacterial small subunit ribosomal RNA", at positions 917 to 1345 of the family's 1533-position model. The record is from RNAcentral.
GGGCCCGCACAAGCGGUGGAGCAUGUGGUUUAAUUCGAUGAUACGCGAGGAACCUUACCAGGGCUUAAAUGUAAGUUGCAUGGAUCAGAGAUGAUCCUUUCUUCGGACCACUUACAAGGUGCUGCAUGGUUGUCGUCAGCUCGUGCCGUGAGGUGUCAGGUUAAGUCCUAUAACGAGCGCAACCCCUAUCGUUAGUUGCCAGCAAGUAAAGUUGGGUACUCUAGCGAGACUGCCGGUGCAAACCGAGAGGAAGGUGGGGAUGACGUCAAAUCAUCACGGCCCUUACGUCCUGGGCUACACACGUGCUACAAUGGCCGGUACAGAGAGCAGCCACCACGCGAGUGGGAGCGAAUCUUCAAAACCGGUCUCAGUUCGGAUCGCAGUCUGCAACUCGACUGCGUGAAGCUGGAAUCGCUAGUAAUCGC